This 770-nucleotide long non-coding RNA is filed under the name Marmota monax (woodchuck). The record is from RNAcentral. Lineage: Eukaryota; Metazoa; Chordata; Mammalia; Rodentia; Sciuridae.
AGCUGGUUUAAGGCAAAUUAUAGCCUGAAUUAAUAUCUUUAGAUACUUUUCCAACAAAGGUUGUGUUAUUGUGUUUAACAAUUCAUAAAAACAUACCACAUAGCAUGAGUGUUUUUAAUGAUUAAUUUUCGGUACUGAACAGCUAGCAAAUAUUUGGCUAGAAUUACCUGUGCUUAGAUGCUGUGCAAUUGAAAGAAAAUUCUCCUGUGGAUGUGCUAUUUAUAACACUACUUUAAAAUAUUAUCUUGUUCAAAUGCAGCAUCUCAUUAGGAGUUAAGUCCUAGAACUACCUGACCCUCCCCCCAAAAAAGUACUCCUUUAAAAUAACAUGUUGUCAUGGUAGUGUGAAAAUGUUAAGGUGCUAUUGUCCCUCUAUGAAAUGAGCACACUACCACAAUGACUUCAACUUCUGUGGUGAGAAAUCACAAGUCACGCCACAAGUCACUCUCCGGAGUUGAGAAGCCCUCAUCAGAUGGUGGAACAGAUCACUGUUUUCUUAAAGCUUUAAGGUAAAAUAUUACAUGACAGAGCACAAGAAAACAUGGGACUUUAAAAAAGCAAAUGGAUAAAAUCUGUCAUUUCAAAAAAACCCCCAACAUUAUAAAGGACUCUUCAUUUUUAAAGGAAAAUAAUGGAGAAGAAAUGUCGGGCACUCUGGUUUUCCUGAAUGGAUUUUAGCUCAUAUGCAUCACAAGCCAUUUUUUAGGAAAAUCAAAUUUUCACACAUUUAUAGAAAUAAUUUGCUUCAGAUCUGCAAUGAAGGCUUGAAG